This 491-nucleotide ribosomal RNA is filed under the name uncultured delta proteobacterium. RNAcentral describes it as "partial 16S ribosomal RNA". Lineage: Bacteria; Deltaproteobacteria. The record is from RNAcentral.
CACGGAGUUAGCCGGUGCUUCCUUUGAAGGUACCGUCAAUACACCACUGAUUAGCAUGAUAUAAUUUCUUCCCUUCUGACAGAGGUUUACGAUCCGAGAACCUUCAUCCCUCACGCGGCGUCGCUGCGUCAGGCUUUCGCCCAUUGCGCAAUAUUCCCCACUGCUGCCUCCCGUAGGAGUCUGGGCCGUGUUCCAGUCCCAGUGUGGCUGAUCAUCCUCUCAGACCAGCUACCCAUCGUCGCCUUGGUCGGGCCCGUUACCCCCCAACCAGCUAAUGGGACGCGGACUCAUCGAAAAGCGGAAGCAUAUGCAGAGGCCUCCUUUCCUGCAUAAGUCAUAUAUGCAGCGUAUGCGGUAUUAGCAGUCGUUCAACUGUUAUUCCUCACUCCCCGGUAGACUUAUCCACGUCGUUACUCACCCGUGCCGCCACUCUACUCAUUCCCGAAGUACUUCUCGUUCGACUUGCAUGUGUUAAGCACGCCGCAGCGUUA